AUGUUUUUCUUUGAAGGCACCUUGAAGAGUGAGAAAGUGAUAAUAACAGUAGAAGCAUCCAAGAGUUCAUUUAACCAUUAUACGUACUCCCUCCGUUCGGAAUUACUUGUCUCAGAAGUGGAUGUAUCUAGAUGUAUUUUAGUUUUAGAUACAUCCAUUUUCGAGACAAGUAAUUCCGAACAGAGGGAGUAUAUGCCAGCAGAUAAACCUCGAACCAGAUUGCUUUUCUUGGGUAAUCGUGGGUUCCCUCGCCCGCGGAGAAGCACCGCAGCAGCCAACUCCGUCAUUGUCCAUGUCAUAUACACACCGCCUUCGUCCUCGCUUGCGUUGCGUGGCGUGGUGAUCCCCGCCGAAUCUUCUUGGCCUUCUAGAAGGUGCGGGCGUCCUCUGAAAAAGAAAAAGAAAGAGGAAAAUGUGUGA
This 420-nucleotide ribosomal RNA is filed under the name Triticum aestivum (bread wheat). Its description in RNAcentral is "partial small subunit ribosomal RNA". The stretch from base 81 to 195 matches the Rfam family "MIR1120/MIR1122 microRNA precursor family". The record is from RNAcentral. Lineage: Eukaryota; Viridiplantae; Streptophyta; Magnoliopsida; Poales; Poaceae.